This is a non-coding RNA of Pelobates cultripes (western spadefoot toad), 174 nucleotides long. The record is from the annotation of a GenBank genome assembly. NCBI's taxonomy places the organism in Eukaryota, Metazoa, Chordata, Amphibia, Anura, Pelobatidae.
UAGACUUGGGGACACUGGGAGACAUGGGGACACUGGGAGACAUAGGGACACUGGGGAACAUGGGGACCCUGAGACACUAGGGACACAGUGGCUCCAUGUCUCCCAGUGUCCCCAUGUCUCCCAGUGUCCCUGAUGUCUCUCAGUGUCCCCAGGUCUCUGUGUCCCCAUGUGUCU